CCACCAAAGUACAGGAUGCCAUUGGAAGUCAUGAGCCUUUAAUACUGACUGAUGCACAGGGCAACGCCAUUGUGGAGUCAGAGGGAACAACAGGUGGGUAACGUAAAAAAAAUGUUUCUCUGUUUUGAGUCUAUGCUUUUGAUUAUGAAUGAGUGAUCCACUUCAGCUGAAAUGUUUUCUCCUGGUUUCCACUCCUACUCCAAGGGUCGCCUUAUUGGAGACAAAAUGCAAGAAAGAUUCUUGCUGUUCCAGAAAAGGACUUUACAGAGCUGCAGGGCACCAAAAGGAGGAGAAUGAGCCGGAAAAAUGAAGAGGUUGGAGGCAUUGCAGAGGUCACAGACAAAAUUGAAGAGCUGGUUCUUGCAUCUCAGAGUCUCCCGGAUGUCACUUUAGCAAUCAGGGAGCUCACCAGUCUGGCUGCAGUUCAAAGACUGACCCUGACUCAUUCACAGCUACAGGCCAUUAAAGGAGCAUUUCACCGGUGGAGGCAUGAAUAUGUAUUGAAAUUGGGUCCUAUAUGUAGUCGAAUAAUAAAAUAAAAUUCUUUUUGGCGCUUGUGGAUUGAAGACAACAACUCCCACCAUGCACAGCUUCGCUGGCGGCCACUCCCGCUGAUCAUCUCCGCCUAUCAGACACCUCCUUGUUCCAUCUACUAAUGGAACCAAAUCAGCGUGGAGCUUGACCCGACGUCACUGGCAGAGAGUAGUGACGCUUGCACAGAAGCAUACGGCCGACAUCUUUCUUUAUUCUGGGUGGAAAUAGUAACAUAGUUACGCCAUUAAAUGCGUUUAUGUAAACAUUUUUAGUGAGAAAUGUGCAUUAUACUUUCAUCAUGUUCGCUCGUUGAAUGUGAAGGAUGUUUGGUUUGAUAGUUAUGACGAAGAGGGAACGCUCCAUUCACUUGCAUGGACAGCGUCUCCGGGUGCUAAGCAACCUCAACGUCUUGGCGGACUAUCUGCUGAUCAACACUACGAAUGCUGGAAACACACCAGACACACCAUGUGAAGUUAUUUAACCCGAUUAUUGUUAUUUAUAUCCGAGAUUAUUUAAUCUAACCCGAUCUAAACUCUAUCAUGCACCCAAACAUGGCGGCGUUUGGGUUUCCUACCUCGGACUCCUAAAUCCAGCGCAGCCACAGUUGGCGCGUUGAACCAUUUUUUUGACACACAAUGAUCAAGCGUCAAGUUAGGCACGUUACACGCGUUUGGUGUGGCCGUAGCA
Long non-coding RNA from Gadus morhua (Atlantic cod), 1221 nucleotides. The record is from Ensembl. Lineage: Eukaryota; Metazoa; Chordata; Actinopteri; Gadiformes; Gadidae.